RNAcentral lists this transfer RNA (65 nucleotides) under Rhithropanopeus harrisii. RNAcentral describes it as "tRNA-Pro". The record is from RNAcentral. Lineage: Eukaryota; Metazoa; Arthropoda; Malacostraca; Decapoda; Panopeidae.
CAGAGAAUAGUUUAAAGAUUAAAAUAUUAGUUUUGGGAAUUAAAGAUAAAAGUAUUUUUCUCUGA